AGAGCGAACGCUGGCGGCAGGCUUAACACAUGCAAGUCGAGCGGGCGUAGCAAUACGUCAGCGGCAGACGGGUGAGUAACGCGUGGGAACAUACCUUUUGGUUCGGAACAACACAGGGAAACUUGUGCUAAUACCGGAUAAGCCCUUACGGGGAAAGAUUUAUCGCCGAAAGAUUGGCCCGCGUCUGGUUAGCUAGUUGGUGAGGUAAUGGCUCACCAAGGCGACGAUCAGUAGCUGGUCUGAGAGGAUGAUCAGCCACAUUGGGACUGAGACACGGCCCAAACUCCUACGGGAGGCAGCAGUGGGGAAUAUUGGACAAUGGGGGCAACCCUGAUCCAGCCAUGCCGCGUGAGUGAUGAAGGCCCUAGGGUUGUAAAGCUCUUUUGUGCGGGAAGAUAAUGACGGUACCGCAAGAAUAACGCCCGGCUAACUUCGCGCCAGCAGCCGC
Molecule: ribosomal RNA, 448 nt
Filed under: uncultured bacterium
Lineage: Bacteria
Description: SSU rRNA
Rfam family: Bacterial small subunit ribosomal RNA
Source: RNAcentral